AAAAGAGCGGGGUAGAAAGGGAGCUAGUGUGCGCGUGUGUGUGUACGCGCCGAGGGAGGAGUCAGACGAAGGAAAGGGCAGCUGGAGUUGCACACUCCACAUAAAGUAGCCACAACGCUCGAAACCACACUCUUUGUUGGCAUAAAGCUUUAGGAAUCUCUCUCUCUCUCUCUCUCUCUCUCUCUCACUGUGUGCGUGCGCGCGCUUGCUUUGGUUUUUAAUGUUCUGGCAGGCAUGUAGAGAAAGUUGCAAACGUUAGUGCGUCCCGGAGAAGAAAAGGGGGAGAGGACCAAGACAAGAAAAGUCGGUUAACUCCUGUCCAGUUCAGGCGGAAAGCUUCGAGAGCAGCAAAUUUCCGACAAGCAAGAAAAAAGUGAAGCGGAAAGUUCGGAAAAGUUAAAACAUUUUCGACAGGGGAAAAACCGCAUUCGGAACCAAUAAUUCACCUACCGCAGACCCAGCGGAAGUUACCCAAGUCCAGGCUGCAUUUGCACACCAAAGCAACGUGCUAAAGGGCUAUGAAGACCAGUUGUGCGACCUGUGAGCUGCUAACGAACAUUUAACCCACUACGUCUGCUCUCUGUUGGCCCAUCCAGCUUUAACGGUAAGCUUUGGACUUCCUGAAAAAUUCGAUGGGUCUGCUGACAAAUGCCGGGGCUUGUUGUGUCAGUGUAUGAUUUAUUUCUCCAGCGAAAUCUAAUCGUUUAGUCAAGACGCCAAAAAGUGUGUUUUCAUGAUGUCACGGCCUACCAUGAAAAGUACUCGACUGGGCCUCCGCUGUCUGGGAUAAAGACCCUACCACCCAAACCUUGUUUGGUUACUUCACUCAACAGAUCCGUUAGGUGUUUGAAUAUCCAGUGGGGUGUCAGGAAAUUUCUAUCCAGCUGCUGCAUUUACGCCAGGGCCAGUGAUCAGCAGCGGAUUACACAAUCCAGUUUAGGAUGCUAAGGGCUCAAAGCGGGUUGAAUGAUGUGGCACUAAAGACUGUUUUCCCUGAGGGCCUGAACCACGAAAUCAAGACAGAACUUGCAUGCAAGGGGGGGGGAUCCAACCUCCUGAGUUUAUCACCAUGGCAAUCAUGAUGGACAAACUGCUCCGAAAUGGUCCAUGACCCAGGACUCGCACCAACCCACAGCCAUCAGCUUCAACACCAUCGCAC
Ictalurus punctatus (channel catfish) is the source of this 1159-nucleotide long non-coding RNA. The record is from Ensembl. NCBI's taxonomy places the organism in Eukaryota, Metazoa, Chordata, Actinopteri, Siluriformes, Ictaluridae.